AGCGGGGGAAGGCUAGCUCUGCUACCGGACCUAGCGGCGGACGGGUGAGUAAUGCUUAGGAAUCUGCCUAUUAGUGGGGGACAACAUCUCGAAAGGGAUGCUAAUACCGCAUACGUCCUACGGGAGAAAGCAGGGGAUCUUCGGACCUUGCGCUAAUAGAUGAGCCUAAGUCGGAUUAGCUAGUUGGUGGGGUAAAGGCCUACCAAGGCGACGAUCUGUAGCGGGUCUGAGAGGAUGAUCCGCCACACUGGGACUGAGACACGGCCCAGACUCCUACGGGAGGCAGCAGUGGGGAAUAUUGGACAAUGGGGGGAACCCUGAUCCAGCCAUGCCGCGUGUGUGAAGAAGGCCUUAUGGUUGUAAAGCACUUUAAGCGAGGAGGAGGCUACUCUAGUUAAUACCUAGGGAUAGUGGACGUUACUCGCAGAAUAAGCACCGGCUAACUCUGUGCCAGCAGCCGCGGUAAUACAGAGGGUGCGAGCGUUAAUCGGAUUUACUGGGCGUAAAGCGUGCGUAGGCGGCUUAUUAAGUCGGAUGUGAAAUCCCCGAGCUUAACUUGGGAAUUGCAUUCGAUACUGGUGAGCUAGAGUAUGGGAGAGGAUGGUAGAAUUCCAGGUGUAGCGGUGAAAUGCGUAGAGAUCUGGAGGAAUACCGAUGGCGAAGGCAGCCAUCUGGCCUAAUACUGACGCUGAGGUACGAAAGCAUGGGGAGCAAACAGGAUUAGAUACCCUGGUAGUCCAUGCCGUAAACGAUGUCUACUAGCCGUUGGGGCCUUUGAGGCUUUAGUGGCGCAGCUAACGCGAUAAGUAGACCGCCUGGGGAGUACGGUCGCAAGACUAAAACUCAAAUGAAUUGACGGGGGCCCGCACAAGCGGUGGAGCAUGUGGUUUAAUUCGAUGCAACGCGAAGAACCUUACCUGGCCUUGACAUACUAGAAACUUUCCAGAGAUGGAUUGGUGCCUUCGGGAAUCUAGAUACAGGUGCUGCAUGGCUGUCGUCAGCUCGUGUCGUGANAUGUUGGGUUAAGUCCCGCAACGAGCGCAACCCUUUUCCUUACUUGCCAGCAUUUCGGAUGGGAACUUUAAGGAUACUGCCAGUGACAAACUGGAGGAAAGCGGGGACNACUUCAAGUCAUCUUGGCCCUUACGGCCAGGGCUACCCCCGUGCUACAAUGGUCGGUACAAAGGUUGCUUCCCACCCAUUUGNUCC
RNAcentral lists this ribosomal RNA (1209 nucleotides) under Acinetobacter baumannii. Its description in RNAcentral is "bacterial SSU rRNA". It matches the Rfam family "Bacterial small subunit ribosomal RNA", at positions 65 to 1275 of the family's 1533-position model. Lineage: Bacteria; Pseudomonadati; Pseudomonadota; Gammaproteobacteria; Moraxellales; Moraxellaceae. The record is from RNAcentral.